GCCAGGAGGCAACAGGUGGCGAUGGCAGGGCAGGAUGAGUCAGCGCCAAAAGGGAGGCCAGACAACAGAUUAAAGCAUCUGGGAUUCCACUGGCACUACGGAGAGGGAGGAAUUGAGACUUAUGGAAGAGAGCAACAGCUGACAUGUACUGAAAGAAACAAAUCUUCUCCGCUUGACUACAUGGGAUCUCUACUCGAGCCUGAGAAGUCUCCUCUUGAUUAGUGUAAGACUGUGACCAAACAGCAGAGGAUAGGAGUGGACAUUUACAGGCUGCAGUGUCCAUCACAGCUGCCAUCUACAACCCUCAGAAACACCAAGCAGAGGACCUACAAAAAACUCCUAGGUGAACUUUCAUGGGCAGCAUGACCAACUUCACAGUCGAUAUGGAUGGUUGAGGACCUGGACAGAACCAUUACCUGUCCAAGAAUGAUGGUGGCUUGGUUCAGGAGGCUGGCACUGAACAGAGCCAAGGGCAAGGUAGAUGACAGCACUUGGUUUAAAGUAGCUGGAGUAGAUUCCAGCACAACAGAGAAGCCAGAGGAGGUGGCAAGACUGCUCGCCCUGUCAUUCAAUGAGUGUGAAGAGGACAGGAGAUCUCACAGAAGGUGGAGAAGGCUGGUGUCUCUGAGACCCGAGGGUUAGUGCCAUAAGUAAGUGGUCGAACCCACACCCCUACUGGUGUACAACGCUCUUGCAUCAAU
Long non-coding RNA from Conger conger (European conger), 701 nucleotides. RefSeq lists it as uncharacterized. The record is from RefSeq and is a predicted model, not a curated record. NCBI's taxonomy places the organism in Eukaryota, Metazoa, Chordata, Actinopteri, Anguilliformes, Congridae. The transcript is spliced from 3 exons.